RNAcentral lists this long non-coding RNA (899 nucleotides) under Sorghum bicolor (sorghum). RNAcentral describes it as "long non-coding RNA (SBIC_LNC002312)". Lineage: Eukaryota; Viridiplantae; Streptophyta; Magnoliopsida; Poales; Poaceae. The record is from RNAcentral.
CGUUUCAUGCAAAAAGUACAGUUUUGCUGACAUGACGCUCUAAUAAAUGUGCAUGACAUCGUGGUGAAACCUCCACUGAGACUGGCCUAAGUGCACUUCACUACGGAUGUGAAAGGUCACGUGAGGCUUGUUCAGCACAAAAUUUUAGUAUUUUGGGAACGGUGGUACUUUCGUUUGUAUUUAAUACUUCCUUCCUAUCUUAAAAAACGUCGUUCUGGCUCAAUAGGUGGUUUGCGUAAAAGAUGUCGUUCUAUCACCGGAGGCCGUUCCUUGGACUCGUUUGCCCCUGUCGCUUUAAUCUCCGUGUGCAUUUACGACUCAGAGCGGCGCGUAUAGACGGAUAACUCGAUUCUCGCCAGCGCGUGUGUCGGUCCUCCGCGUCUUAAAGCUGCGCUCCACGCCGCUCCACGGACGGGAGCAGUAUGCAAGCGCAUAAAUACUCCUUUGGUAGCCCAAACGUCUACACCGCCAGCCAAAAAAAAGAAAAAAAAGCGCGAGAACCUCCUACAGCCGAAAAAAGACACUAGCGACGUAAAUAUAUGCGCGAAGUAUACGCGCUCAAGCUCCACAACGAAAUAGUGCCUUGCAAAAACUCACCAUGCAAUAUUCAACCAAAAAAAUUUGGGGUCCAAGGGAGUCGAACGGUGCUCGCCAGCCGAGGUGGGAGCCAAUUGGUCUGUGAAACUUUUUUGAAAAGAAUGCACGUGAAGCUUUAUUUAUUAGGAGCAAAUAGGGAAAACUUCACUCUAAUUAAUCACUUUUUGGUAUGCUAAAUCAUAUCCUAAACGACCUUCUUUUUUAUAUGGAGGGAGUAAAUAUUAUUUAAUUAUAGAUUAAUUAGACUUAAAAGAUCUGUCUCGUAAAUUUUGAUCAAACUGUGCAAUUAAUUUUUAUUUUCG